Molecule: ribosomal RNA, 120 nt
Filed under: uncultured bacterium
Lineage: Bacteria
Description: partial 16S ribosomal RNA
Rfam family: Bacterial small subunit ribosomal RNA
Source: RNAcentral
AUUGAACGCUGGCGGCAUGCCUAACACAUGCAAGUCGAACGGUAACGCGGGGGCAACCCUGGCGACGAGUGGCGGACGGGUGAGUAAUACGUAGGAAUCUGCCCAUUUGUGGGGGAUAAC